This is a long non-coding RNA of Bactrocera dorsalis (oriental fruit fly), 532 nucleotides long. RefSeq lists it as uncharacterized. The transcript is spliced from 2 exons. Lineage: Eukaryota; Metazoa; Arthropoda; Insecta; Diptera; Tephritidae. The record is from RefSeq and is a predicted model, not a curated record.
AUUAAUACCAUACUCUAAGAUAUUUAUUCAUAGUGAGGCCUUUCUUAAGCGGAAAAUUCAAAACUAAGGCAAAUUAAGUUAUGACCUUUAUAGUGGACAGCACAGUUAUGUAUUAUUUGUGUUUACAUGUAUUAUCAGCUGGUAAAAAUGCCAUAUGAUAGUACAACCCAGAGGGUGCUUUUCGUUGUUAUAAGCACGUAUCUACAGGGUGGCGCAAGAUUUUUUGUGAAACGAAAUUGAUUUGCUGGUAUAAAAUUUAAUGCAACUGUUUACUUUUUGGACAGCAAUACUUUUACUCUUAAUAAUUUGGACACAACCCGUGAAAAAAAAGAAGGCGAAGGCAUAAAAACAAAUGCGAAAACGUACAUAUAUUUGUGCAUACUUAUGAAUAUUCAAACGGCUUGGAAUUACCCAUUUUUAGACAUGGUCAUGGAUGUUUGUCAAUAAAUUUAUGUAAACUUGUAUUAAAAUUUGUUUUUCCAAUUUAUUCAGAUAAAUCAUUGCACAUAUUAAAUAUAUUUAGCACAUGUAA